RNAcentral lists this ribosomal RNA (429 nucleotides) under Bacillota bacterium. RNAcentral describes it as "Firmicutes bacterium partial 16S ribosomal RNA". It matches the Rfam family "Bacterial small subunit ribosomal RNA", at positions 355 to 776 of the family's 1533-position model. The record is from RNAcentral. Lineage: Bacteria; Bacillati; Bacillota.
UGGGGAAUUUUGGACAAUGGGCGAAAGCCUGAUCCAGCAAUGCCGCGUGUGUGAAGAAGGCCUUCGGGUUGUAAAGCACUUUUGUCCGGAAAGAAAACGCCGUGGUUAAUACCCGUGGCGGAUGACGGUACCGGAAGAAUAAGCACCGGCUAACUACGUGCCAGCAGCCGCGGUAAUACGUAGGGUGCAAGCGUUAAUCGGAAUUACUGGGCGUAAAGCGUGCGCAGGCGGUCCGCUAAGACAGAUGUGAAAUCCCCGGGCUUAACCUGGGAACUGCAUUUGUGACUGGCGGGCUAGAGUAUGGCAGAGGGGGGUAGAAUUCCACGUGUAGCAGUGAAAUGCGUAGAGAUGUGGAGGAAUACCGAUGGCGAAGGCAGCCCCCUAGGCCAAUACUGACGCUCAUGCACGAAAGCGUGGGGAGCAAACAGG